CCCGGACUGCACAGCCCUAGCACUACAGGUGGGUGUGGGUGCGGGAUUUAUGCGCCAACAGAGAGGGCGAGCCUUACGAGCGAAGGUUCAGGGAAGAUGCAGCACUGGACUAGCGGGACUGAAGGCUGCGGUCUGAGAGCCCCGGGGAGGUGAAGAGGAGCCCGAGAGGAGCCCAGAGCCGGGCCACCUUUCGGGGGGUCUCAGUCCAUACCGGAAAGUGAGAUUUUGCCCCCAGAUUUGGACUCACUACUUCAGAAGUGGAGCCCAAUUGUGCAGCUACAUUGUGCUGAAGCACGGUGCUGAGUGCAACAAUCUCACUUCUUGCCACGCUAGACAUCGAGGGUUCUACUUUCCGUGGCCAAAGGCCAGAAGAUUUGAUUCAUUACUCAAAGAUUUAAGUGAUCCUCAAAGUAUGGCUCAUGGACAAUAUGACAUGCCAACUCCCAUCCAUCCACAAAAAAAACUUCAGAUUCAUUUUUAUCAUAUAACAGAAAGGAAAUCAAAAAGGGAAAUCAGCCUGGUCCUUCACCACCAACAGCUGCAGCAGCUCUGCUCUGGGGAUAUAAAUGAUCUGACACUACCAAGAAGCUCCAAGGCCUGUGAAUGACAAACAAGAGGAAAGGGUGAGGUACUCUACUCACUUGGCUUUUAGGACUUCCCCACAUCCAUGCCACACAGAGUCUUUGUCCAGCUGGAGCUCACGAAGGACACGGCUGGGUUUGUAGGCUGCAUUGAUAAGUAAAGUGAGGACCUGCAGAAAUGUGGGUUCAAGAGGAAAGAGAAAAAGAAGACCAUUAGACUUUUAACACACUUGCUAGCCUUAAGACUUACAAGAUCAUUUUGGAAAUUAUUUACAGUUAUAUUAAGAAUGUUAACAAAAUAAUAAAAGCAAAAAUAUAUCAGUUACAAAUUAAGAGAAAUUAGAUUACUUAAACCAUUCAGGAAAAAAACAAGCACCACAAAUUGGAAAGUACUCUAGCAUGUGCUUCCAAAUGUUUUCGCAUGGUGGCGCACAGACAACUGUAUUUAUUUGGGACUGGGGAGGAAAGGGUUUACUUCACUUACAGGUUACAGUCUUUUAUUAGGAACCUAGUGGCAAAAACUGAAGCAGAGGCCAUGGAGGAACACUGCUUACUGGCUUGGUUCUUGUGGCUUGCACAGCCCGAUUUCUUACACAAUGCAGGACCACCUGCCCAGAGGUAGCACUGCCCACAGCGCACUAGGCCCUCCCACAUCAAUCAUUAAUCAAUAAAAUGCCCUAGAGACUUUCUGACAGUCUGGUGGAGACUCUUCUUCCCAAAUUGCACUAGCUUAUGCCAAAUUGGCAAAAACAACCAGGAGAAAGACACUCUACAGACAUCAACCUUCUGAUGGCUAGAGGGUCUGGAAACUCCAGCUUCCUCAGACUCUGCCUUGCCCUUCUCAAGGCUGACAGGUUCAAGUCCUCAAAUGUGUUACUUGCAGCACACUGACCAAAGGUGCUGAAAGCCCCGGAAUUCACAGCUUACUCAUGGAUUCUAGUCAAUGCCACACAACCUCAAGUUGUAAACUAAUCUUACAGUGAACACAUACACUCACACACACACUUUUUUUUUUUUUAAACAUGGGGUCUUGCUUUGAACUCAAAAUUCUACGGCCUCAGCCUCCUAAGUGUUAGAAUUACAGGCACAUGCCCCUACCACUCCCAUCAGUCAUCCCAUCCACUGAGUUGAUCUAGGACUACUUGGAGCCUGAACUUGAGAGUUUGAACCUACAACUUCAGGCAAGGCAUCCUAGAGCCAAUCCACUUGCUCCCACACAUGGUCAGCCAUCUGACCUGCUGGUUCCUGGACUAUGUGAAGAUGAACCCUGAUGCAACUUAGACCUUUAUCCUACCUCAUCCAUGUGGUGUGGUGACACAGUGCUCCCUGGCCCAACCCCUCCCAACUCCUCCAGUCUCCAUGCAGCUGCUAGCCGGGGACCCUGGAGCCAGUCUUGUGGUGUAAGGACAACAGCCACCCACUUGUACUCCCUGGCACAGGCCCUCCCCACUCUGCAGGCUCUGUGCCAGAUCUCCCUCCAGGCCCAGUCAGGCCCACACAUCCUGUGCUCUGGCUCAGUCUGUGAGUCCACCUGACCCUACCUCUGCCUGAAUCCUCCCCAAUUCACAGAAAACAAAUAAAAUUAUAACUGCUGAAACACAAAAUACAACUAAGAAUACAAACAACAACAAAAACCCCACAAUUAAAUGGCUACAACCACACACCUUUCAAUAAUAACUUUAAAUAUUAAUGGUCUCAACUCUCAAAAGACACAAGCUGACUGAAUGGAUUAAGAAACAAAACUCCAUCCUUCUUUUGUCUACUAGAAAUUCAGCUUUAAAGACAGUCACCACAUUUAAGUGAAAGGAUGUAAAAAAGUAUUUCAAGCAAAUGGGCACAGGAGGCAAGCAGGCAUUGCUAUCCUAAUAUCUGGCAAAACAGACUUUAAACUAAAACUACUAGAAGAGAGAGACACUUUACUCUGACCAAUUAACAACUCUAAACAUGUAUGUGCCAAACUCUGGAGUACUCAAUUUCAUUAAAACAAACAAACAAACAAACAAACCAAAACCUCUUACUAGAAUUAAAGACACCAAUGAUCAACAACCCAGUAAUAGCAGGUGAUUUUCAUACCCCACUGUCUCCAUUAGACAGGACAUCUGGACAAAAGAUAAACAGAAAAACAUCAGAAUUAAAUGACAACAUAUAUCAAAUAUGACCUAACAGCUAGCUACAGAAUACUCCACCCAAACACUAACUAAAACACAUUCUACUCAGCAGCCUACAUCAUGAGACACAAAUCUUAACAAAUUCAGAAGAACUGAAAUAACUGUGUAUCCUAUCUGACCAUAAUGCAAUAAAACUUCACACUGACAACAAAGAAAUCUCUCCAAAGAACAUAAGCUCACAGAGAUUAAACUACUCAUUACUGAAUGAUGAAUGGGUCAAAGAAGAAAUGAAAAUUCCUGGAACUAAGUAACAAUGAAAACACAAUACAACAAAACACUUGGGACACAUAAAAAGCAGCCCUAUGGGGGGAAACUUAUAGCUCUAAGUGCCUACAUUUAAAAAUCAGAAAAAGCACAAAUAAAUUACUUAGUGAUACAAUUCAAGGAUUUGGAAAAACAAGAACAAAUUAAACCCAGUAGAUGACAAGAAAUAAUAAAAAUCUGAGCAGAAAUUAAUGAAACUGAGAUAAGUAACACUAAGAAUCAAUGAAUCUAAGAGCUGGUUCAAAGAUAACUAAAACUGAUAGACCUUUAGAAUUAAAGGUAUGCAUCACAACACCCUACUUUUCAUAUGCAGUAUGAAAAGCUCCUCUAUAUAGUCUCCUCUAUACAGUACUCAAGCAGUCUCUGAUAAACACCUUGUUUAGAAAGAGGUGAACCUAUUGGAAGAUUUUCUUAAGUGAAUGUUCCCUGAGGAACAGAAACAAAUUGUAUACCAAUUUGCAAUGUAGGACAGUAGUAUCCAGCUUUAACUGACUUUGUGUUCUGAGUUGCAGUGGUUUAAAAGCCCAGAAAUAAUUCACAAACUUUAAACUGUACACCAUUUUGAGUACGCCGAUGAAAUCCUGUACCACUGCCAACACAUAUGGAUUAUCUCUGCCCACUGUGUCCAAGCUGUACACGUUAUCUAUAGCCUCUUAGUAGCUGUGCCAGUUAUCAGAUCAGCUCUAGAGAAACCACAGUACACUUCACAGCUCAAACAACCCUAGAGUAGUCUAAUGUCACACCACUCAUCAUGUAGGCAUUGAUCCGCUCUCACAUUGUAACAGUAGAAGAUACAACUUAGUAAGGUAAUAUGAAAGAUGACUUUCAAUCAAGUUUUAUUAUAGUAUAUUGUUAUAAUUUUCUAUUUUAUUAUUUGCUAUUGCUGUUAAUCACUUACCAUGUCUAACUUAUUAAAUUUUAUCGUAAGUGUUAUGGUUUGGACACGGUUUGAAUAUGUGUCCUCGCCCCCCUCAACCCCCCAGCUUCCCAAAAGCUUAUGUGUCAGAAUCUUGGUCCCCAGUAUGAUGUAGACAGAAUUCUAAAGAAGUGAGGCCAGGGGGAAAUUGCCAUGGUUAGUUUUAAUUGUCGUGUCAGUGAGGAAUUGUCUAGAUUUGGCUCCUCAUGGGCAUGUCUGUGGGGGAUUAUCUUGAUUACACUGAUUGACCCAGCCCAUAAGUGAGCAGCAGCACUUCCUGGGUUAGGGAGCUGAUCACAAGCCUGCAGACCUCCAUCCUUCAUCUGCCCUUGACUAAUGCAUGUGAUACAAUCAUCAGCAAAUGACACUAGACGUCCUUAGAAAAACUGGAAACGUGACCUCAGAGAAGACAGCACGACAGCCUCUCUCCGGUUUCUUACUUGGCAACAUGGUUCUUCCUCACAUGUGUAGUUCUCACUAUGAGUUGACACAGUUGAGAGGAACUUCACCACAAGCCAAAUCGAUAGGGAUACUUGGUCUUAAACUUUUUAGCCUCCAAAACUAUGUACUAAAUAAACCUCUUUUUCUUCAUAACUAA
Molecule: non-coding RNA, 4527 nt
Organism: Peromyscus maniculatus bairdii (prairie deer mouse)
Lineage: Eukaryota; Metazoa; Chordata; Mammalia; Rodentia; Cricetidae
Source: RefSeq, a predicted model, not a curated record